RNAcentral lists this ribosomal RNA (265 nucleotides) under uncultured bacterium. Its description in RNAcentral is "partial 16S ribosomal RNA". It matches the Rfam family "Bacterial small subunit ribosomal RNA", at positions 793 to 1055 of the family's 1533-position model. The record is from RNAcentral.
GUCCACGCCGUAAACGAUGAGUGCUGGAUGUCGGGAGGUUUACCUCUCGGUGUCGGAGCUAACGCGUUAAGCACUCCGCCUGGGGAGUACGGCCGCAAGGUUAAAACUCAAAGGAAUUGACGGGGGCCCGCACAAGCGGUGGAGCAUGUGGUUCAAUUCGACGCAACGCGCAGAACCUUACCAGCCCUUGACAUGGGACGUUUGAGCCGUGGAGACACGGUUCUUCAUUUAGUUGGCGUCCACACAGGUGCUGCAUGGCUGUCGU